UACCACAACAUGGCUUGCCAAGUGGUGCCAUGUCUGCACCCGGGAUCCGAACCAGCGAACCCCGGGCCGCCUAAGCGGAAGGUGCACACUUAACCGCUGCGUCACCGGGCUGGCCCCUGGUGAUGCUUAUUUAAGCAUCAGGAGAGGCAACAAUGGCAUCUUCUGACCACCAGAGGGCACUGUGUGAACAGCAGGCUUAUCGGCAAAACCCAGCUUCACCAGGAAGUCCCUUUUUGCACGUGGCAUUCGCUUUCUUAGGGUUCAUUUUGUGGAACUUCUAUCUAUUCCAAAGUACUCACUCUCUGACUUUGUCUGGGACCCACCUAAAGCUCUUCCUCCCCCUGUAUUCUGGCACUGCCAUUUGCUAUCACCCAGGCUACUUGGGAGGCACCUGGGACUUCUCCCCCAUAAUUAACUAUCAAGUCUUGUUAAUUUUCUCACUG
This is a non-coding RNA of Equus caballus (horse), 443 nucleotides long. Lineage: Eukaryota; Metazoa; Chordata; Mammalia; Perissodactyla; Equidae. The record is from RefSeq and is a predicted model, not a curated record.